UACGUAGGGGGCAAGCGUUAUCCGGAUUUACUGGGUGUAAAGGGAGCGUAGACGGCAUUGCAAGUCCGGAGUGAAAGCCCACGGCCCAACCGUGGGACUGCUCUGGAAACUGUAGAGCUGGAGUGCGGGAGGGGCAGGCGGAAUUCCUAGUGUAGCGGUGAAAUGCGUAGAUAUUAGGAGGAACACCGGCGGCGAAGGCGGCCUGCUGGACCGUAACUGACGUUGAGGCUCGAAAGCGUGGGGAGCAAGCAGG
Molecule: ribosomal RNA, 253 nt
Filed under: uncultured bacterium
Lineage: Bacteria
Description: partial 16S ribosomal RNA
Rfam family: Bacterial small subunit ribosomal RNA
Source: RNAcentral